RNAcentral lists this ribosomal RNA (245 nucleotides) under uncultured bacterium. RNAcentral describes it as "partial 16S ribosomal RNA". It matches the Rfam family "Bacterial small subunit ribosomal RNA", at positions 524 to 768 of the family's 1533-position model. The record is from RNAcentral.
UACGGAGGAUGCAAGCGUUAUCCGGAAUGAUUGGGCGUAAAGCGUCCGCAGGUGGCUGUGUAAGUCUGCUGUCAAAGAAUUUGGCUUAACCAAAUCAAGGCAGUGGAAACUACAUGGCUAGAGUGCGUUCGGGGCAGAGGGAAUUCCUGGUGUAGCGGUGAAAUGCGUAGAGAUCAGGAAGAACACCGGUGGCGAAAGCGCUCUGCUAGGCCGCAACUGACACUGAGGGACGAAAGCUAGGGGAG